RNAcentral lists this ribosomal RNA (397 nucleotides) under uncultured bacterium. Its description in RNAcentral is "bacterial SSU rRNA". It matches the Rfam family "Bacterial small subunit ribosomal RNA", at positions 29 to 429 of the family's 1533-position model. The record is from RNAcentral.
AUUGAACGCUGGCGGCAGGCCUAACACAUGCAAGUCGAACGCGAAAGUCACUUCGGUGGCGAGUAGAGUGGCGGACGGGUGAGUAACGCGUAGGAAUCUGCCCUGUAGUGGGGGAUAACCCGGGGAAACUCGGGCUAAUACCGCAUACGCCCCACGGGGGAAAGCGGGGGAUCCUUCGGGACCUCGCGCUAUAGGAAGAGCCUGCGUCGGAUUAGCUAGUUGGUAGGGUAAAGGCCUACCAAGGCGACGAUCCGUAGCUGGUCUGAGAGGAUGAUCAGCCACACCGGAACUGAGACACGGUCCGGACUCCUACGGGAGGCAGCAGUGGGGAAUAUUGCGCAAUGGGCGAAAGCCUGACGCAGCCAUGCCGCGUGUGUGAAGAAGGCCUCGGUGUAAG